This 230-nucleotide long non-coding RNA is filed under the name Theobroma cacao (cacao). RNAcentral describes it as "long non-coding RNA (TCAC_LNC004789)". Lineage: Eukaryota; Viridiplantae; Streptophyta; Magnoliopsida; Malvales; Malvaceae. The record is from RNAcentral.
GAUUUGGAGGUAGUUGGGGCCUAAGUUGAAGAGUCCAUCUGUAUUCGCCAAUUGGUAGGUACCAUGGCCUCCACUAACAAUACACACGCCGAGAGUCGCGCCACUGAUAGCCAAGGUCUCUUGUAUGUGUAUAUAGUUACUUAAAUGUAAAGUAUGAGAUUACUGUGCACUGUGUAUGUUGAUUGAUUAACCAUGUCGUUUAGGGUUGACGAAUGAUACCCUAUUUUGAG